This 252-nucleotide ribosomal RNA is filed under the name uncultured bacterium. RNAcentral's name for it is "partial 16S ribosomal RNA". It matches the Rfam family "Bacterial small subunit ribosomal RNA", at positions 524 to 776 of the family's 1533-position model. The record is from RNAcentral.
UACGUAGGUCCCGAGCGUUGUCCGGAUUUAUUGGGCGUAAAGCGAGCGCAGGUGGGUUAUUAAGUCUGGUGUAAAAGGCAGUGGCUCAACCAUUGUAUGCAUUGGAAACUGGUAGACUUGAGUGCAGGAGAGGAGAGUGGAAUUCCAUGUGUAGCGGUGAAAUGCGUAGAUAUAUGGAGGAACACCGGUGGCGAAAGCGGCUCUCUGGCCUGUAACUGACACUGAGGCUCGAAAGCGUGGGGAGCAAACAGG